CCAGACUCCUACGGGAGGCAGCAGUGGGGAAUAUUGGGCAAUGGGCGCAAGCCUGACCCAGCAACGCCGCGUGAAGGAAGAAGGCUUUCGGGUUGUAAACUUCUUUUAUGAGGGACGAAACAAAUGACGGUACCUCAUGAAUAAGCCACGGCUAACUACGUGCCAGCAGCCGCGGUAAUACGGAGGAUGCGAGCGUUAUCCGGAUUUAUUGGGUUUAAAGGGUGCGUAGGCGGAAUAUCAAGUCAGCGGUAAAAAUUCGGGGCUCAACCCCGUCUUGCCGUUGAAACUGAUGUUCUUGAGUGGGCGAGAAGUAUGCGGAAUGCGUGGUGUAGCGGUGAAAUGCAUAGAUAUCACGCAGAACCCCGAUUGCGAAGGCAGCCUUCCGGCGCCCUACUGACGCUGAGGCACGAAAGUGCGGGGAUCGAACAGGAUUAGAUACCCCGGUA
This 446-nucleotide ribosomal RNA is filed under the name uncultured bacterium. RNAcentral describes it as "bacterial SSU rRNA". It matches the Rfam family "Bacterial small subunit ribosomal RNA", at positions 331 to 792 of the family's 1533-position model. The record is from RNAcentral.